Molecule: ribosomal RNA, 255 nt
Filed under: uncultured bacterium
Lineage: Bacteria
Description: partial 16S ribosomal RNA
Rfam family: Bacterial small subunit ribosomal RNA
Source: RNAcentral
UACAGAGGGUGCGAGCGUUGUCCGGAAUCACUGGGCGUAAAGGGCGCGUAGGCGGCUUGAUAAGCGUGCGGUGAAAGCCCGGGGCUCAACCCCGGGUCGGCCGUGCGAACUGUCGAGCUGGAGCACUGUAGAGGCAGGUGGAAUUCCGGGUGUAGCGGUGGAAUGCGUAGAGAUCCGGAAGAACACCGGUGGCGAAGGCGGCCUGCUGGGCAGUGGCCUGACGCUGAGGCGCGACAGCGUGGGGAGGCAAACAGG